GAGUUUUCAACUCCCAACCCCUGUGAACAUACCUAUCGUUGCUUCGGCGGACACGCCCCGGCGCCCCCGGGCCCGGACCAAGGCGCCCGCCGGAGGCCAAAAAACCACUGUGUAUUAUGUUUUCUUCUGAGUUAAACAAGCAAAUAAAUCAAAACUUUCAACAACGGAUCUCUUGGUUCU
Molecule: unclassified non-coding RNA, 180 nt
Filed under: rhizosphere metagenome
Description: partial ribosomal RNA internal transcribed spacer region
Source: RNAcentral